This 406-nucleotide ribosomal RNA is filed under the name uncultured eukaryote. Its description in RNAcentral is "SSU rRNA". It matches the Rfam family "Eukaryotic small subunit ribosomal RNA", at positions 592 to 1018 of the family's 1831-position model. The record is from RNAcentral.
CAAUAGCGUAUAUUAAAGUUGUUGCAGUUAAAAAGCUCGUAGUUGAAUUUCUAUAUGCAUAUUGAUCGGAGCAAUUCAUUAAUAUGUAUAUAUCCGACAUUGAACUAUAAUGGUUAUUUAGUUAAUCUUAUAGCGAACUGUCAUUUUACUUUGAAAAAUUAGAGUGUUUCAGGCAGGCAUUUGCCCGAAUAUCUUAGCAUGGAAUAAUGGAAUAGGACUUUGGUUCAUUUGAUUGGUUAUUGAAUCAGAGUAAUGAUUAAUAGGGACAGUUGGGGGCAUUAGUAUUUAAUUGUCAGAGGUGAAAUUCUUGGAUUUAUUAAAGACUAACUUAUGCGAAAGCAUUUGCCAAGGAUGUUUUCAUUAAUCAAGAACGAAAGUUAGGGGAUCAAAGACGAUCAGAUACCGU